This is a small nuclear RNA of Ictidomys tridecemlineatus (thirteen-lined ground squirrel), 107 nucleotides long. The record is from Ensembl. Lineage: Eukaryota; Metazoa; Chordata; Mammalia; Rodentia; Sciuridae.
GUACUCUCUUUGGCAGCACAUACACUAAAAUUGGAACAAUACAGAGAAAAUCAGCAUUGCUUCUGCACAAAGAUGACACACAAAUUCACGAAAUGUUCCAUAUUUUU